UGGGUAGCUCAGUGGAUAGAGCAGUGGUUUCCUAAACCAUUGGUCGCGGGUUCAAUUCCCGCCCC
This 65-nucleotide transfer RNA is filed under the name bovine gut metagenome. It matches the Rfam family "tRNA", at positions 5 to 66 of the family's 71-position model. Rfam says of the family: Transfer RNA (tRNA) molecules are approximately 80 nucleotides in length. Their secondary structure includes four short double-helical elements and three loops (D, anti-codon, and T loops). The record is from RNAcentral.